Empidonax traillii (willow flycatcher) is the source of this 324-nucleotide long non-coding RNA. RefSeq lists it as uncharacterized. NCBI's taxonomy places the organism in Eukaryota, Metazoa, Chordata, Aves, Passeriformes, Tyrannidae. The transcript has 3 exons. The record is from RefSeq and is a predicted model, not a curated record.
AUCUGCUUGAAAGGUCCUAAAAAAUGCUUAGUGGGACUGGUCAGACUUGCUGAUUGUAAGAUGGAGUCUUCAGCCAUUGGACAGCAAAAGGUCUUUGAGACACAGAACCAGCGAUUUUGAGCUGAAGUUGAAAGAGAGGAUUUUCUACCCUGCCCACCCCCAACCCCAAAGGAUGAUUAGCAGAUCAAGGUCAACAAGCUGGCCAAGAACAUACAACUUAAGCAAAUGGAGAAGAGGCUGUCAGUAUUAACAACUGGUUACAGUUGUAGAGGCAUAUCUGAUUCCUCUUGUUUGGGUUUAGAGUCCUCCUUGCGCUGCUGCUGU